RNAcentral lists this ribosomal RNA (444 nucleotides) under uncultured bacterium. RNAcentral's name for it is "bacterial SSU rRNA". It matches the Rfam family "Bacterial small subunit ribosomal RNA", at positions 334 to 775 of the family's 1533-position model. The record is from RNAcentral.
UACUCCUACGGGAGGCAGCAGUGAGGAAUAUUGGACAAUGGGUGCAAGCCUGAUCCAGCCAUCCCGCGUGAAGGAUUAAGGUCCUAUGGAUUGUAAACUUCUUUUAUACAGGGAUAAACCUCUCCUCGUGAGGAGAGCUGAAGGUACUGUAUGAAUAAGCACCGGCUAACUCCGUGCCAGCAGCCGCGGUAAUACGGAGGGUGCAAGCGUUAUCCGGAUUUAUUGGGUUUAAAGGGUCCGUAGGCGGGCCGAUAAGUCAGUGGUGAAAUCUCGCAGCUUAACUGUGAAACUGCCAUUGAUACUGUUGGUCUUGAGUAAAUUUGAAGUGGCUGGAAUAAGUAGUGUAGCGGUGAAAUGCAUAGAUAUUACUUAGAACACCAAUUGCGAAGGCAGGUCACUAAGAUUUAACUGACGCUGAUGGACGAAAGCGUGGGUAGCGAACAG